RNAcentral lists this non-coding RNA (21 nucleotides) under Rattus norvegicus (Norway rat). The record is from RNAcentral. Lineage: Eukaryota; Metazoa; Chordata; Mammalia; Rodentia; Muridae.
CACAUGCCGCCAGUUCAUAGC